Molecule: long non-coding RNA, 676 nt
Organism: Prionailurus viverrinus (fishing cat)
Lineage: Eukaryota; Metazoa; Chordata; Mammalia; Carnivora; Felidae
Exons: 3
Source: RefSeq, a predicted model, not a curated record
AUGAUGUAAACUUAUUUCUGCUGUUAUUGCCCCUCCUAUAUCACCCUUUCCCUAUAUAUGAAGACCUACAAGAAAAUUUAAGAUUAUCUAGGGGAGAAAAAUGUAACUUUUCCUUUAUCCUUUUAGGUUCUUGGUUGAGACAUCCCUGUAAUAAAAGACUAGAGGAGAAAAGCAAACCAAAGUUUAAUUACAUGUGUACCUCCUGCACACAUGGGAGAUACCCAGGAAAUCUGAGUAACUCCCUGAAAUGGCUCCAGCUGUCACCUAAAACAGCACCUCCAGCUAAAGACAAAAGAUGUUGAGAGAAGGCUGGAAGCCAGUUAAGGGAGGUUACCAGGAGAGUCUGAGCAAACAAGCCCAGGGGACCUGUGUGUGAUGAUGAACUGUAACACUGUCCUCCACUGCCUAAUAGGCUUGAUCAUAUAACCAUGCUUACAUGGCUCCGAAGUUCAAGAAGGCAUCACUCACAGGUCUGGCAGUUGGUCGUGGUUAUCAGCUAAGGUGCCUCAGAUGAUUCCAUGUCAGUCUCUUAUCCUUCAGUAACCUGGACAGGAUUUCUUUUGUAUUCCAAGAAGGCAAGACAUAAGGCAUAAGUAGCUUUUAAGCCUCUGCUUGCAACAUGUUUGCUGAUGUUCCCACUGGCCAAAGACAGUAAUGUUGCCAAGCCAAGAGUAAA